This 293-nucleotide ribosomal RNA is filed under the name uncultured bacterium. RNAcentral's name for it is "partial 16S ribosomal RNA". It matches the Rfam family "Bacterial small subunit ribosomal RNA", at positions 505 to 796 of the family's 1533-position model. The record is from RNAcentral.
GUGUCAGCAGCCGCGGUAAUACGAAGGGGGCUAGCGUUGUUCGGAAUCACUGGGCGUAAAGCGCGUGUAGGCGGACUGUUAAGUCGGGGGUGAAAUCCCGAGGCUCAACCUCGGAAUUGCCUUCGAUACUGGCAGUCUUUGAGUCCGGGAGAGGUGAGUGGAACUCCUAGUGUAGAGGUGAAAUUCGUAGAUAUUAGGAAGAACACCAGUGGCGAAGGCGGCUCACUGGCCCGGUACUGACGCUGUGACGCGAAAGCGUGGGGAGCAAACAGGAUUAGAAACCCCCGUAGUCC